UGGGGAAUUUUGGACAAUGGGCGAAAGCCUGAUCCAGCCAUGCCGCGUGAGUGAAGAAGGCCUUCGGGUUGUAAAGCUCUUUCAGGUGGAAAGAAAACGCAUAGGUUAAUACCUUGUGCGGAUGACGGUACCAUCGGAAGAAGCACCGGCUAACUACGUGCCAGCAGCCGCGGUAAUACGUAGGGUGCGAGCGUUAAUCGGAAUUACUGGGCGUAAAGCGUGCGCAGGCGGUUACGUAAGACAGAUGUGAAAUCCCCGGGCUCAACCUGGGAACGUCAUUUGUGACUGGAGAACUAGAGUGCGGAAGAGGGGGGUGGAAUUCCGCGUGUAGCAGUGAAAUGCGUAGAGAUACGGAGGAACACCGGUGGCGAAGGCGGCCUCCUGGUCUGGUACUGACGCUCAUGCACGAAAGCGUGGGGAGCAAACA
RNAcentral lists this ribosomal RNA (427 nucleotides) under uncultured bacterium. RNAcentral's name for it is "bacterial SSU rRNA". It matches the Rfam family "Bacterial small subunit ribosomal RNA", at positions 355 to 774 of the family's 1533-position model. The record is from RNAcentral.